UCGGAUUGCAGUCUGCAACUCGACUGCAUGAAGCUGGAAUCGCUAGUAAUCGCGAAUCAGCAUGUCGCGGUGAAUACGUUCCCGGGUCUUGUACACACCGCCCGUCACACCAUGGGAGUCGGAAAUGCCCGAAGCCAGUGACCCAACCUUUAAGGAGGGAGCUGUCGAAGGCAGGUCUGGUAACUGGGGUGAAGUCGUAACAAGGUAUC
RNAcentral lists this ribosomal RNA (209 nucleotides) under uncultured bacterium. RNAcentral's name for it is "partial 16S ribosomal RNA". It matches the Rfam family "Bacterial small subunit ribosomal RNA", at positions 1293 to 1500 of the family's 1533-position model. The record is from RNAcentral.